RNAcentral lists this ribosomal RNA (567 nucleotides) under Streptomyces sp. 424E04. RNAcentral's name for it is "bacterial SSU rRNA". It matches the Rfam family "Bacterial small subunit ribosomal RNA", at positions 93 to 671 of the family's 1533-position model. The record is from RNAcentral. Lineage: Bacteria; Bacillati; Actinomycetota; Actinomycetes; Kitasatosporales; Streptomycetaceae.
UAGUGGCGAACGGGUGAGUAACACGUGGGCAAUCUGCCCUGCACUCUGGGACAAGCCCUGGAAACGGGGUCUAAUACCGGAUACGAGUUUCACAGUGCAUCUGUGAUUCUGGAAAGCUCCGGCGGUGCAGGAUGAGCCCGCGGCUCUAUCAGCUUGUUGGUGAGGUAACGGCUCACCAAGGCGACGACGGGUAGCCGGCCUGAGAGGGCGACCGGCCACACUGGGACUGAGACACGGCCCAGACUCCUACGGGAGGCAGCAGUGGGGAAUAUUGCACAAUGGGCAGAAAGCCUGAUGCAGCGACGCCGCGUGAGGGAUGACGGCCUUCGGGUUGUAAACCUCUUUCAGCAGGGAAGAAGCGAGAGUGACGGUACCUGCAGAAGAAGCGCCGGCUAACUACGUGCCAGCAGCCGCGGUAAUACGUAGGGCGCAAGCGUUGUCCGGAAUUAUUGGGCGUAAAGAGCUCGUAGGCGGCUUGUCGCGUCGGUUGUGAAAGCCCGGGGCUUAACCCCGGGUCUGCAGUCGAUACGGGCAGGCUAGAGUUCGGUAGGGGAGAUCGGAAUUCCU